Molecule: ribosomal RNA, 494 nt
Filed under: uncultured bacterium
Lineage: Bacteria
Description: partial 16S ribosomal RNA
Rfam family: Bacterial small subunit ribosomal RNA
Source: RNAcentral
GACGAACGCUGGCGGCGUGCUUAACACAUGCAAGUCGAACGGAAAGGCCUGCUUUCCCUUGUGGAUUGCGGGUACUCGAGUGGCGAACGGGUGAGUAACACGUGAGUGAUCUGCCCCCAACUUGGGUAUAAGCCUGGGAAACUGGGUCUAAUUCCCGAUAGGACUGCAGGGUGGUGCCUGUGGUGGAAAACGAUUUUCUAGUGGUUGGGGAUGAGCUCGCGGCCUAUCAGCUUGUUGGUGGGGUAAUGGCCUACCAAGGCGGCGACGGGUAGCCGGCCUGGGGGGGUGGACGGCAACAUUGGGACUGAGAUACGGCCCAGACUCCUACGGGAGGCAGCAGUGGGGAAUCUGGCACAAUGGGCGGAAGCCUGAUGCAGCGACGCCGCGGGGGGGAUGACGGCCUUCGGGUUGUAAACUCCUUUCGACCGCGAGGAAGCCACCUGGUUGGAAGGGUGGUGACGGUAGUGGUAGAAGAAGCACCGGCUAACUACGUG